GACGAACGCUGGCGGCAUGCCUAACACAUGCAAGUCGAGCGAGCAGAUCCCUUCGGGGUGAAGCUAGCGGCGGACGGGUGAGUAACACGUGGGCAACCUGCCUCAUAGAGGGGAAUAGCCUUCCGAAAGGAAGAUUAAUACCGCAUAAGAUUGUAGCUUCGCAUGAAGUAGCAAUUAAAGGAGCAAUCCGCUAUGAGAUGGGCCCGCGGCGCAUUAGCUAGUUGGUGAGGUAACGGCUCACCAAGGCGACGAUGCGUAGCCGACCUGAGAGGGUGAUCGGCCACAUUGGGACUGCGACACGGCCCAGACUCCUACGGGAGGCAGCAGUGGGGAAUAUUGCACAAUGGGGGAGACCCUGAUGCAGCAAUGCCGCGUGAGUGAUGACGGCCUUCGGGUUGUAAAGCUCUGUCUUCGGGGACGAUAAUGACGGUACCCGAGGAGGAAGCCACGGCUAACUACGUGCCAGCCGCCGCCGUAA
RNAcentral lists this ribosomal RNA (478 nucleotides) under uncultured bacterium. Its description in RNAcentral is "partial 16S ribosomal RNA". It matches the Rfam family "Bacterial small subunit ribosomal RNA", at positions 28 to 523 of the family's 1533-position model. The record is from RNAcentral.